Molecule: ribosomal RNA, 465 nt
Filed under: uncultured soil bacterium
Lineage: Bacteria
Description: bacterial SSU rRNA
Rfam family: Bacterial small subunit ribosomal RNA
Source: RNAcentral
AGAACGAACGCUGGCGGCAGGCCUAAUACAUGCAAGUCGAACGCACUCUUCGGAGUGAGUGGCAGACGGGUGAGUAACGCGUGGGAACCUUCCCAAUGGUACGGAAUAACUCCGGGAAACCGGUGCUAAUACCGUAUAAGCCCCUCGGGGGAAAGAUUUAUCGCCAUUGGAUGGGCCCGCGUCGGAUUAGCUAGUUGGUAAGGUAAUGGCUUACCAAGGCUACGAUCCGUAGCUGGUCUGAGAGGAUGAUCAGCCACACUGGAACUGAGACACGGUCCAGACUCCUACGGGAGGCAGCAGUGGGGAAUAUUGGACAAUGGGCGCAAGCCUGAUCCAGCCAUGCCGCGUGGGUGAAGAGGCCUUGGGUUGUAAAGCCCUUUGUACCGGAAAGAAAGCUUCGGGCUAACGUACCCGGGUCCUGACGGUACGAAGAAUAAGCACCGGCUAACUCGUGCCAGCAGCCGC